RNAcentral lists this long non-coding RNA (458 nucleotides) under Salvia miltiorrhiza (redroot sage). RNAcentral describes it as "long non-coding RNA (SMIL_LNC006500)". The record is from RNAcentral. Lineage: Eukaryota; Viridiplantae; Streptophyta; Magnoliopsida; Lamiales; Lamiaceae.
GAGAAUGAAAGCCGUGUGUGUUUGUGUUUGCAAAAAUGCAGAUUUUUGGGUAAUAUAUACUCCAUCCGUCUCACAAAAACAUGAACAAAGAGAAAUGCACGGGUUUUAAGAAAUGUUAGUUGAGAGUUAAAGUAAGUGGAAAAUGGGUCCCACUUUAAAAGGUGUUGUGAGAGUAAUGAAUUAAUUAAGGAAAAGUAGUGGUGAGCCAUGAUGUACUAAAAUGGAAAGGUUCAUGUUUUUGUGAGACACCCCAAAAUGGAAAAACGUUCAUGUUUUUGUGAGACGGAGAGAGUACUAUAUAUAUUCACGUGUGUACCCAACUUCGGCGCCUUCGCAGCAUCGGCUGACUUGGCUCCAACACACACGAGCCAGCGCGGCCUUCUCGUUCCCCGCCACCGGCGCAGCACCCAGCGCGCCACCACUCACGAUUUGGAACAACAACUCCGGCGAGAUCAAGA